Molecule: ribosomal RNA, 255 nt
Filed under: uncultured bacterium
Lineage: Bacteria
Description: partial 16S ribosomal RNA
Rfam family: Bacterial small subunit ribosomal RNA
Source: RNAcentral
UACGGAGGGUGCAAGCGUUAUCCGGAUUCACUGGGUUUAAAGGGUGCGUAGGUGGGCAGGUAAGUCCGUGGUGAAAUCUCUGAGCUUAACUCAGAAACUGCCGUGGAUACUAUUUGUCUUGAAUGUUGUGGAGGUGAGCGGAAUAUGUCAUGUAGCGGUGAAAAUGCUUAGAUAUGACAUAGAACACCAAUUGCGAAGGCAGCUCACUACACAAUUAUUUGACGCUGAGGCACGAAAGCGUGGGGAUCAAACAGG